RNAcentral lists this ribosomal RNA (239 nucleotides) under uncultured bacterium. RNAcentral's name for it is "partial 16S ribosomal RNA". It matches the Rfam family "Bacterial small subunit ribosomal RNA", at positions 28 to 265 of the family's 1533-position model. The record is from RNAcentral.
GACGAACGCUGGCGGCGUGCUUAACACAUGCAAGUCGAGCGGUAAGGCCCUUUCGGGGGUACACGAGCGGCGAACGGGUGAGUAACACGUGGGUGACCUGCCCUCAGCUCUGGGAUAAGCCUGGGAAACCGGGUCUAAUACUGGAUAUGACUCCAUGACGCAUGUUGUGGGGUGGAAAGCCUUGUGCGGCUGAGGAUGGGCCCGCGGCCGUACUCAGCUUGUUGGUGGGGUGGAUGGCC